Molecule: RNA transcript, 1926 nt
Organism: Lolium rigidum
Lineage: Eukaryota; Viridiplantae; Streptophyta; Magnoliopsida; Poales; Poaceae
Exons: 9
Source: RefSeq, a predicted model, not a curated record
ACCCCCGAGACCCUCUUGACCUCCACAACACCACACACUCCCAUCUUCCCUCGGGCUCCCCGUAGCCCGAAUUUUGUCGAGGAGCCGCCGCCGUUUUCUUCGACGCCGGCGACGAUUUUCGUCGCUGUAAAGAAGUUCGGGAGCAUCCGCGAUAACGGGAGCCGAACACGCCGACGCUGCGGACGUCGCUCUCGUUCUUAUCCAACCUCGCCGGGACCAGCUGACAGCCGGUGGAUCUCCGCCACAUCUACCAGCAUCGCCUCAAAGCCUCGCCCAAACCAUCCGACGUUUGUAGCUUCGUCUUCAUCCACGACCGGAGUUGCAAAAUCCAUCGCCGGCCACACACCGUGCUGUGGCCGAUUGAAGGCACCAAUGUCACAUCUGCUGGUAUGUACGAGAUGCAUUUGCUUUUAGUAAACCAACACAAUUAUCUCCUUUUAGCAUUGCCCUUCAACAUCUCUAGAGGGGUUGGUAGUGCAGGUCUGAAAUUACUAUUUGCAAAUACCACUGAUUUUUGCAGUAUCUACAUCUACCCCAAUUAGCUUCUUAUUAUUCUUUCUGUCUGUCAUCUUCUCUGUUUCACUUUCAGCUGGCAACGAAGAUGACGCUGAGGUGUUGUUUCUGGUUCAUUAGAUUUCUUCAUCUGUGUAGUUUUAUAUUGUACAUCCUAGCUAAGCACAAGUACUCCAAAAGGUUUGAAAUAUGAUAUUUUCCCCUGCAAACUUUUGUGUUCGCUUUUCAUGUUGAUGCCAACAAAUGAUAUUUAGGAAACAUUUUAUUCCUUGUGUAAUGAAAGUGAUUUAGAGGAGAAAAAUGCCAGGGAUGCAUUCUCACAGAAAGCACUGAAUCAGCAGAAGUUGCAUGGUAGAAACUGAAACUCUCAACUACAUGGUGGAGCCAAUAAGAGAAUCCAGCUCAAGAGCGACGCACAGAAAUCUGAGAAAAGAGGCAAGAACCGAUUUUGUGUGUUCUUAGCUCACAUGCAAGAGAUUGUGCUCCUGGAAAGCCACCUUGAUGAUCGACGCGCUGGAUGAAGCAUUGGGUCGUAAUCCUGCUCCAGAUACUCUAUAGAAAGAGAGCCACUCCUCAAGGAAACUAUUUCAGCAAGCUCCUACAUUACUAUCUUCACCCGGUGCUGCUGCUUUUUCUUGCGCGUGUUGUGUGGCAGCUACUCUCUCUUUUGUGAAUUUGAGAAGCUUUCUACAUAUUGGUGGUGAAAUCCAGGCUGCUAGAUUUCAUCAGGGACAUGGAAUAGCUCCCAAAGGAAGUCGCCGGAAUAGAGGAGAUUUAAUUUUGAGGGGAUGGCAUUUCAUUGCAGUGUCAGAAAUAGUGUUCCUCGGCUGCUAACGUUCUACACCGUGGUGUUAGGCUCUGGAUCGAGCUGGAGAAUGUAAAUGCUGUGUUGUCGUUGAAGUAUGAAGGGGUACGCCGUUCGAGCUCUUGAAGUUUUGUUCUGUAGAAAUCAACAGCCAGUCGCUUUCGGAGCUACCAUCUCUCUCAAGCCUCAAGGAAGUUGUACUCCCAGGAAGUUCCCAUGCGGAUAUGUUCUUGAGCAGCCAGGAGCUAAACAAGCUUUCCAUCUUUAUGUAAUUCCAGAGCCCAACGAGUAGAUUAUCUAUGUAUUUUGCGACCAGCCUUGUGGUGUCCAAAAAGAUCUUCUGCAAAAACCACCAAGAUAGAGCAAGAACUGUGUGCUCUUAGAUUUUAGAGGUAUAAGUGGUAGUUCUGAACUUAAAACUGUGUUCUCACUUCCAACCAAAAGAAAAACACAUUUUGAUUUUGUUAGCAAGUUGAAGAUAUUCUCUUAGCGAGACAAAAAUAAUCGUCAGAUCUAGCACAAAAAAAAUCCUUACUUUGACAAUUGUACACUUCAGAAAGUAAAGUUCUCAAGUAUUGGUGGUAAAAUUAAGGAAAGUUAUGGACAUA